Molecule: long non-coding RNA, 2218 nt
Organism: Pogona vitticeps (central bearded dragon)
Lineage: Eukaryota; Metazoa; Chordata; Lepidosauria; Squamata; Agamidae
Source: Ensembl
CUUUCAGGUCAAGGGUCAGGCUGAUGCACGCAGGCUUGUCACUGCUGGCCUCGGGGAGAGAUUUGAUUCCAGCCGUUCCGGGUCCCUGUCCUCGGUUGCCCAUCCCUUCUCCCCCACCCCACCUUCUAGUCCUGCUGGCUCAUUCAGGUGCUGCUGGGCAGAGGCACCUCCAAGGAAAUAUCCACCCCAUGUGUCAUCAGCGUGAAACCUCCCACCAGCCAGGGUGUGAAAGCGGACAACAUUUGCAUUUCCUCCGCAGCCGUAUAAAUACCUUUGCAAGUUGCCCUUCUCCAGAUCUCAGGCACAGGACGGGCAGACCUUGGGCCAAAGAAGAGAGACGGGGAAGAGAUUUGAGGAAAGGAGAAAAGGGGGGAAAACAACCCAGAAAACUUCAGCAUCAUGAUCGUCUUCCAGUCCCCAGUGCAGCUUCUGGUCCUCGGAGCCUUCCUGGUGUCUCCGGCUUCACUUCAGCCCUCUCCCUGCGAGGUUGUCAGGAACACGGCUGCCUACGGCUCCUACCAGCUCAGCGUACAUCCCCUGUUUUACAAACCAAAUUCAAUCUACACAAUAUCCAUCCCCGGGAUCGAAAACGGCACCUCUGUUAUCCUCCAAGCGGUGACCUCCGACGACGGCGCUUCCAACGGCAUGUGGGAGAUGGAAAACCAUCUCCUGAGCUGCAGCAAGACUGAGAAUCUGGUGCAGAGGAACAUCACGUCCAGCGGCACACGGACACGCUGGACGUCCCCGAGCAACACCAACGUGGCGUCCGCACAAAUACGGGCUUUUGUCUCCUUUGCCAAUGGCACAACCCUGCUGCAGACGCAGAACCUGGUCAGAGAUGCAGAUGUUGCAACAACACCAUCAGCGGCCACCCAUCCAACCACCGAUUCCCACAAGCCAACGCUCCACGGCGACUCCACUCACACCCAUGUCGUCCUCAACGCAACCAUGAACCACCACAACCUGGCUUCCUCCCACCAGUGGACCAAGGGCCCGAACAGCUCCGUCUCCAUGGCCGGAGCCAGCUCUUUCGUUCUAGCAGUUCUGCAGCUUUUCUCCAUUUCUCUUGGGUACAAACUCCUCUCCUAAGAUGACAAUUGGAACAAAAUGCCGAAGCCAUGGCGCGAGCUUCCACCUGAGUUUCCAAGUAGAAUGUGAAGAAGGGAGAGCUGACCUCCUCGGGAUGGAAAAACCCCACCCCUCAUCUCUCUUUCCUUCCCUCCCCUCUGCCAGUAAAUAUCCGUAUUUAUAAUUGCACUUUUUUUCAUAUUAAUCUGCGUAUACUCCCCCCAACUCUGUUCUCAUAUCAAACGAUUCAUAAAGCAGCUGUUCCGUGGUGUCCGCAUGGAGGCGGUCUGAAGUUCUGUGGUCUGAGAAAGCCACGGUGCCCCUUCUGUGCCUAACAUUGUGGCAGAAUAUAAUAAUAAGCUUAAAUACUCAACUCAUUGUCUAAGGCAACUCAAGUAUGCCCGCCUUGGUAUGGCCAACGACAGGGCUGGUUCCAGUUCAAAAGGUAACUCUGCCACAUUAUCGUUUUUAAGUAGACUUUGAAUUCUAUCUUUUGUUAUCAGAGCCUAGACAAAAAUAUGGUAUUAGAAAAAGGCAGGCGCCAAAGGUGCUUACUUCUGGCCCCUCCUCCCCAAAUUUAUCCAAUCUGCGUUUAGAGGACUUUUGACGUUUUGAUACAGGGUGCCAGCACCGGAAUCCAUCUCUAGAAUCACUGCUCUGGGCCAGGAGCUGAAACAGGAACUGUUUCUACCGAUCAGAAUGGUUUUCCCGGACGUUCUGCAAAGAAGCUGAACACUGGUUUUUUAAUAAGAUGGGAGACCUCCCUGCCGAGGAGGCGGGGAAAGACUCUUCUGGAUUUCUCAGUCUUCUGAGUUGGGAUUUAAACCCAAGGUUUAGCUGCCUGUGGGCCAGUCUGGAGGGCAGGGAUUCCCUUUCAUAACGAUGGCUUUUUAACUCCUGCUGGAUGAGGAUCCUGUCCAUGACCACCGUGGGGGUUGGGUGGCAGAUGAUGGAAAAGAAAUGGGCUUCGGUGUCCUAAGGUCCAAUUUUUUGAGUCCUCUACAGUACACUUCCACGUAGGUUGGGGUGACGGCUGCUGUUUUUUGUACAGACUCUGUUUGUUUUGGAAAAUGUAUUUUGGAAACCCAUGUCGUUGUAAAGACCUCUUUCCCCCAAUAAAACCUCUUCAUAAUGUCCCCUCUCUGUGUGG